Molecule: ribosomal RNA, 1306 nt
Filed under: Vibrio cholerae
Lineage: Bacteria; Pseudomonadati; Pseudomonadota; Gammaproteobacteria; Vibrionales; Vibrionaceae
Description: bacterial LSU rRNA
Rfam family: Bacterial large subunit ribosomal RNA
Source: RNAcentral
AAUCGUCCCCAAAACCGACACAGGUGGUCGGGUAGAGAAUACCAAGGCGCUUGAGAGAACUCGGGUGAAGGAACUAGGCAAAAUGGUACCGUAACUUCGGGAGAAGGUACGCUCUUGAUGGUGAAGUCCCUCGCGGAUGGAGCUGACGAGAGUCGCAGAUACCAGGUGGCUGCAACUGUUUAUUAAAAACACAGCACUGUGCAAAAUCGCAAGAUGACGUAUACGGUGUGACGCCUGCCCGGUGCCGGAAGGUUAAUUGAUGGGGUUAGCGCAAGCGAAGCUCUUGAUCGAAGCCCCGGUAAACGGCGGCCGUAACUAUAACGGUCCUAAGGUAGCGAAAUUCCUUGUCGGGUAAGUUCCGACCUGCACGAAUGGCGUAAUGAUGGCCACGCUGUCUCCACCCGAGACUCAGUGAAAUUGAAAUCGCUGUGAAGAUGCAGUGUACCCGCGGCUAGACGGAAAGACCCCGUGAACCUUUACUACAGCUUGGCACUGAACAUUGAACCUACAUGUGUAGGAUAGGUGGGAGGCUAUGAAGACGUGACGCCAGUUGCGUUGGAGCCGUCCUUGAAAUACCACCCUUGUAUGUUUGAUGUUCUAACUUAGACCCAUUAUCUGGGUUGAGGACAGUGCCUGGUGGGUAGUUUGACUGGGGCGGUCUCCUCCCAAAGAGUAACGGAGGAGCACGAAGGUGGGCUAAUCACGGUUGGACAUCGUGAGGUUAGUGCAAUGGCAUAAGCCCGCUUAACUGCGAGAAUGACGGUUCGAGCAGGUGCGAAAGCAGGUCAUAGUGAUCCGGUGGUUCUGUAUGGAAGGGCCAUCGCUCAACGGAUAAAAGGUACUCCGGGGAUAACAGGCUGAUACCGCCCAAGAGUUCAUAUCGACGGCGGUGUUUGGCACCUCGAUGUCGGCUCAUCACAUCCUGGGGCUGAAGUCGGUCCCAAGGGUAUGGCUGUUCGCCAUUUAAAGUGGUACGCGAGCUGGGUUUAGAACGUCGUGAGACAGUUCGGUCCCUAUCUGCCGUGGGCGUUGGAAGAUUGAAGGGGGCUGCUCCUAGUACGAGAGGACCGGAGUGGACGAACCUCUGGUGUUCGGGUUGUGUCGCCAGACGCAUUGCCCGGUAGCUAAGUUCGGAAUUGAUAAGCGCUGAAAGCAUCUAAGCGCGAAGCGAGCCCUGAGAUGAGUCUUCCCUGACAGUUUAACUGUCCUAAAGGGUUGUUCGAGACUAGAACGUUGAUAGGCAGGGUGUGUAAGCGUUGUGAGGCGUUGAGCUAACCUGUACUAAUUGCCCGUGAGGCUUAACCAU